UAAACACCUGAGAUUUAACUCCUCUAACUUGAACUCUACUUCCUCUAACAAUACCUUCUCUAAAGCUAGCUAUAAUUUUAACUCACACUACUUUACCUCAGACCCUAACAACAAAUCUCUUACUUCUUUAAUUUUUAUCUCUAAAUCCACUACCUCUAUGACUGUCAGUCAAAAUCUAACUCAUCAGAGUAUAACCCAUACUGCCCUAAAUCUAACUCUUCCUCUUCUAACAUUAAUAUUAAGUUAGAGGAGUUAGAGUUAGAGAUGCAGGUGUUAGCUUUAGAGUUAGAGCUGGUUGACUUAAAGCAGUUAUCUAUACAGGAGUAAGACUUACAUUUACAAGAUUUAGAAUUAGAGAAAGAGAGUUAAAGUUACCAUUAGAAGACUCAGAGUAGGAUCCAAUAGAGUUACACUAAGAGCAUUUAGAUUCAUUAAAAAUAAAGUUACAAUUAAAGGUAAGGUCUCACACUUAGAGGUAUCAGAGUUACAUUAGGGGGAUGUAAAGAUAGAGUUAGAGCAGUAAGAUUUAGAGGAAUUAAAGUUACAAAUACAAAAGUUUAAGUUGGACUAAGACUUAUACAAGUGAGAGCGAGAAAAAAAUGACUUCAACUUAAGAAUUAGAUUAAGAUUUGGAGAAGUGACUCUUAGGUUUAGAUUCAGAUGAGUUAGCCUUAGGGCAGGUAGAUUUUGAAAUAGAUUUAUAUGACUAAGAAAGAGAGUUAAAAUUAGACCAGUUAGUGUAAGAGUAAGAAUAAAAGUUAUAACAGUUAAAAUUAGACUUAGAAUUAGAUCAGAGUGAGAUUAAGAGUUACCAGGGUUAGUGUUGUCAUGGAAUAAGUUAGAGUGAAGAAUACCAGUAAGAUUUAGAGUAGAAAUAAGACAGAGUAGAAUGAGAUAGAGCUGCGAGGCAGAGUAAGAGUUGCAAAGGAUAGAGAAUUUAGAGUUUGAGUUAGAGUUAGAAUUAGAGAAGUUUGAGUUACAAUGAGUUUAGAUGUUGGAGCUAGAGACAAAUGACAUGGUUCAGAGUUAGAGCAAGAAUUCAUGGAGUAGGAUUUAGAUUGGGAUGAUUAAGCUAAGAGGGGUUAGAAUUUGACUUAGAGUUCUAUGAGUUAGGGUGAGAAUUACUACACUCAAGGGUACAGUUCGAAUAAGAGUUGCAGGAGGGAGGGAUAGACUCGAAGGAGUUAGAGUUAAGAAGAAGAGAAACAGAAAAUUUUGAUUUAGACUUAAAGGAAUUAGAGGAUUUAGAUUCUGAGUUAGAAGAGUUAUACUGAAUGGUAGAGCAGUUAGGGUUACAUUAUGGAACAGUAAAGUUAGAGUGAAAGAAGGAAGAAUUCGUGUUAGAGGAAAUAGAGGAGUCAGACUGAGAGCACUUACAGAAUAUACUCUCAGUUGUCGAAAGGUAACUGCUCUAAUGCCAACUCUAUCUCACAUGCUACAUCUAACUCCUGUAACUCCACUGUAAAUCCGCUAACUGGGCUAACUAAUUCUCACUCAUCUACUCUAACUAUAAACACCUGAGAUUUAACUCCUCUAAGUUGAACUCUACUUCCUCUAACAAUACCUUCCCUAAAGCUAAGAAUAAUCAUAACUCACACUACUUUAGCUCAGACCCUAACUCCAACUCUCUUACUUCUUUAAUUUUUAUCUCUAAAUCCUCUACCUCUACGACUGUCAGUCAAAAUCUAACUCAUCAGAGUGUAACCCAUACUGACCUAACUCUAAUUCUUCCUCUUCUAACAUUAAUACUAAGUUAGAGGAGUUAGAGUUAGAGUUGCAGGAGUUAGCUUUAGAGAUAGAGCUGGUUGACUUAAAGCAGUUAUCAAUAGAGGAGUAAGACUUAGAUUUACAAGAUUUACAAUUAGAGAAAGAAAUAGAGUUUGUUACCAUUAGAAGAGUAAGAGCUGGAUGCAGUAGAAUUACACUAAGAGCAUUUCGAUUUACUCGAAAUAAAGUUACAAUUAAAGGUAAGGUCUCACACUUAGAGGUAUCAGAGUUACAUUAGGGAAUGUAAACAUAGAGUUAGAGCAGUAAGAUUUAGAGGAAUUAAAGUUAGAAAUACAGAAGUUCAAGUUGGACUAAGACUUAUACAAGUGAGAUCUAGAGAAAAAUAACUUAGAUUUAAAAAUUAGAUUAAGAUUUGGAGAUGUGAGUGUUACAUUUAGAUUCAGAUGAGUUAGGCUUGGGGCAGGUAGAUUUUCAAAUAGAUUUAUAUGACUAAGGAAGAGAGUGGAAAUUGGAGCAGUUAGUGUUAGAGUAAGACUAAAAGUUAUAAGAGUUAAAAUAAGAAUUAGAUUUAAAGCACUUAGAGUGAGAUUAAGAUUUACAAGUAUUAGUUUUGUCAUGGAAUAAGUUGGAGUGAAGAAUAGGAGUGAGAGAGAAAUUAUUAGACUUAGAGUUGAAUGAGGAAGAGCUUCAAGGUAGAGUAAGAGUUGCAAAGGGUAGAGGAUUGAGAGUUUGAGGUGGAAUUAGAAUUAGAGAAGUUUGAGUUACAAUAAGUGUAGAUGUUGGAGCUAGAGAUAAAUAUCAUGGAUAAGAGUUAGAGCAAGCAUUAAUGGAGUAAGAUUUAGAUUGGGAUGAUUUAGACUAAGGAGGGUUAGAGUUUGACUUAGAGUUCUAUGAGUUAGGGUGAGAAUUACUACACUCAAGGGUACAGUUCGAAUAAGAGUUGCAGGAGGGAGGGAUAGACUCGAAGGAGUUAGAGUUAAGAAGAAGAGAAACAGAAAAUUUUGAUUUAGACUUAAAGGAAUUAGAGGAUUUAGAUUCUGAGUUAGAAGAGUUAUACUGAAUGGUAGAGCAGUUAGGGUUACAUUAUGGAACAGGAAAGUUAGAGUGAAAGAAGGAAGAAUUCGUGUUAGAGGAAAUAGAGGAGUCAGACUGAGAGCACUUACAGAAUAUACUCUCAGUUGUCGAAAGGUAACUGCUCUAAUGCCAACUCUAUCUCUCAUGCUACAUCUAACUCCUGUAACUCAACUGUAAAUCCACUAACUGGGCUAACUAAUUCUCACUCAUCUACUCUAACUAUAAACACCUGAGAUUUAACUCCUCUAAGUUGAACAAUACUUCCUCUAACAAUACCUUCUCUAAAGCUAAGAAAAAUCAUAACUCACACUACUUUACCUCAGACCCUAACUCCAAAUCUCUUACUUCUUUAAUUUUUAUCUCUACAUCAACUACCUCUAUGACUGUCAGUCAAAAUCUAACUCAUCAGAGUAUAACCCAUACCGCCCUAAGUCUAACUCUUCCUCUUCUAACAUUAAUAUUAAGUUAGAGGAGUUAGAGUUAGAGAUGCAGGAGUUAGCUUUAGAGUUAGAGCUGGUUGACUUAAAGCAGUUAUCAAUAGAGGAGUAAGACUUAGAUUUACAAGAUUUACAAUUAGAGAAAGAAAUAGAGUUAGUUACCAUUAGAAGAGUAAGAGCUGGAUGCAGUAGAAUUACACUAAGAGCAUUUUGAUUUACUCGAAAUAAAGUUACAAUUAAAGGUAAGGUCUCACACUUAGAGGUAUCAGAGUUACAUUAGGGGGAUGUAAAGAUAGAGUUAGAGCAGUAAGAUUUAGAGGAAUUAAAGUUACAAAUACAAAAGUUUAAGUUGGACUAAGACUUAUACAAGUGAGAGCGAGAAAAAAAUGACUUCAACUUAAGAAUUAGAUUAAGAUUUGGAGAAGUGACUCUUAGGUUUAGAUUCAGAUGAGUUAGCCUUAGGGCAGGUAGAUUUUGAAAUGGAUUUAUAUGACUAAGAAAGAGAGUUAAAAUUAGACCAGUUAGUGUUAGAGUAAGAAUAAAAGUUAUAACAGUUAAAAUUAGACUUAGAAUUAGAUCAGAGUGAGAUUAAGAGUUAUCAGGGUUAGUGUUGUCAUGGAAUAAGUUAGAGUGAAGAAUUCCAGUAAGAUUUAGAGUAGAAAUAAGACAGAGUAGAAUGAGAUAGAGCUGCGAGGCAGAGUAAGAGUUGCAAAGGAUAGAGAAUUUAGAGUUUGAGUUAGAGUUAGAAUUAGAGAAGUUUGAGUUACAAUGAGUUUAGAUGUUGGAGCUAGAGACAAAUGACAUGGUUCAGAGUUAGAGCAAGAAUUCAUGGAGUAGGAUGUAGAUUGGGAUGAUUAGACUAAGAGGGGUUGGAAUUUGACUUAGAGUUGUAUGUGUUAGGGUGAAAAUUACUACACUCAAGGUUACAGUUAGCAUAAGAGUUAAAGGAGGUAAUGAUAGAUUCCAAUGAGUUUGAGAGAAGAGGAAGAGAAACAGAAAAAUUUGAUUUAGCCUUCAAGGAAUUAGAGAAUUUAGAUUUUGAGUUAGAGGAGUUAUACUGAAAGGUAGAGCAGUUAGGGUUACAUUAUGGAACAGGAAAGUUAGAGUGAAAGAAGGAAGAAUUCGUGUUAGAGGAAAUAGAGGAGUCAGACUGAGAGCACUUACAGAAUAUACUCUCAGUUGUCGAAAGGUAACUGCUCUAAUGCCAACUCUAUCUCACAUGCUACAUCUAACUCCUGUAACUCAACUGUAAAUCCGCUAACUGGGCUAACUAAUUCUCACUCAUCUACUCUAACUAUAAACACCUGAGAUUUAACUCCUCUAAGUUGAACAAUACUUCCUCUAACAAUACCUUCUCUAAAGCUAAGAAGAAUCAUAACUCACACUACU
Molecule: long non-coding RNA, 4628 nt
Organism: Antechinus flavipes (yellow-footed antechinus)
Lineage: Eukaryota; Metazoa; Chordata; Mammalia; Dasyuromorphia; Dasyuridae
Exons: 3
Source: RefSeq, a predicted model, not a curated record